Molecule: RNA transcript, 2562 nt
Organism: Macadamia integrifolia
Lineage: Eukaryota; Viridiplantae; Streptophyta; Magnoliopsida; Proteales; Proteaceae
Gene name: LRR receptor kinase BAK1-like
Exons: 6
Source: RefSeq, a predicted model, not a curated record
GGGCCGGACACUGUGUUACACCGCAAAGGAGCUCAGUCCUCUCUUUCCCUACCUUCUUUUCCAACAAUCGAAACCCUUUUUUUCCCCCAAAACCUCUGAUCCUUUUUCUUGGGAACCAAAGCCAAGGCCGUGACGUGCAACCCAUCUUCCUCCACCUUUGCUCGACCAAGAGAGCCAAGCCCACUAAGUUUCAAACCACUUGCAUGGAUAUGGAGCUUUCUUCAUCUCUGGGUCACGAUUCUUUGUUGAAAUCAUGGAAGCUUGAUAGGAAUAACAUCAGUGGAACUAUUCCCAGUGACUUUGGGAAUCUGAAAAUUUUGGUUAGCUUCGAUCUCUAUUUGAAUGACUUCUCUGGUUCCAUUCUUGACAGCUUGGGGAAGCUGACAAAGCUGCGGUUCCUGUAUGUAUCUUUCAUCCUAUUUCUUCAGCUAAUGAAUUAAUAGUUUGUGUUUGCUAGUCCUCUCUUUUUUGUGUUGGCUUCAGUGUUAACUAAGGGUUAGUUUAUUUAUUUAUUUAUUUUUUUUUUUUUUUCUGGUAUUUGGAUACAAGGCUUGCCUAGGAACUGUUAAAAGAUGAUGUUUUGAUAAAUGACAUUAUGGAUGUAACUGAUCAUUUUGAUCCAAAGCUAUCAAGAGAAACCAAAACAUGAUGGAGUCAGUUUUUUAGAUUAUGGAGCAAGGAUGGUGUAGUAUAAAAUGCAAAAUAUGGGAAAAAAUGCACUGAUUUACAUGGUCAAGCAAGGUAAGUGCUCUCUUGGACUAAGAUCUCCAGUGUAUUUACUAGGUUCUUUUAGAUUCCGAAAAGUAGGACAGAGAUAAGAUAUUUUGAUUAUAGUCCUUUGGGACUUGCUUACUGUGCAAUCUUAUGGACUAAGAUCUCAAGAAAAUUGAGCAGCUCCCUAUUAUGUUCCAAUGUAGAGGUAUGUGGAUUGUACUCUUCACUUUGUAUUAAUUUAUCUUUUUUGGAAAUGUAUGGAUUUGGAAGCACUUCUGUAUAGAUUGCCAAAUAGUCAUCAGCACAGCUACUAAAGUUUUUAUUUCUUACUUAUCAUAUGGUUGACUCUGAAUUUGAAAAUAGAAGUCAUUUCCUUGAAAAGUCAAAUUCCACUGCUUACCUAGAUAGUCUUAAUUAUAGUUGUUAGACCUAAAGAAAGCCUAGAGAAGUAAGAGAAUUAGAGAACUCACUACAUUCUUCUUGCUCAGUCCAUUUGGCUCCGUUCAUUUCAACAAAAAAAUUAUAAAAUUGGAACCAAAAUAAGUUUUUUGGAAUCAUAAAGAGUCAGAUAUUCUUUGACUCGAGUACAAUAGUGAAAAAUGUGGAAAACAACUUGCAAAUCAAUCAUGCCUUUUCUAUCCAUGGAAGUCACCAACCCAUUAUAUUGCUGGAUUUGUUCCCUCAAUAUCCCAUGCCUUUAGGAUUGAUUGUUUGUGUCAAGAUCACCUAGUGGACACUCAUCAAAUUUUUGAACUAACUAAAGUAAAAUAGCAAUUGAAAAUAAAAAACAGAAUUAAUUGUUUGAUUUUCAAUCAUUAGAAUUUUAUUUAUGAAAUAACUUUGAGCUUGACUACUUGUGCCCUUUGGAAUGAUUCAAAGCUGAGACACAAACCACGUUAAAAGUUGCCAUGAAUGCUUAUAUUUUAAUUCCAUGUUGAGAUACAACUAUUGACUCUUCUAUCUUUAAUACUAAUUGUACUCUAGAAAUUGAUCUCCUCAGUUGUAGGGCAAGCCAAGUCAAAGUGAUGGAUCAAGAGGAAAAUUUGUUACACAACAUUACCUUGAUCAUGAAUACAAUUCUAGGGUCGUUUGAGUCCUAAGCUGUAACUAAAUUCACACAAAAAAAUGAAAUGACCAAGUGGUUGAAACCUACUCCAUGGCUAUAGGGAAUCCUUAUGUUCAUGCUAUGGAAAUGACCAAGUGGUUUCCAUAGGGAUGGCUGAUGCUGGGAUCAAGUACAUUCCAAGCAACACAUUUCUCGUACCACAGUCAAAUGCUUGAUACUGCAGCAAUGCUUGGGGUAUCCGAUACUCUUAAUGGUCAAAAUGAGUCAGCACUACAAGGAAGUAACUCGGAAACUCAAAUAUAGAGCUUGGGAGCCUUGGAUUCAAACAAGGAGGACUUAAAAUUAGUCGAGUCUUUUUAAUGCAUUCUUGAAUACCAUAUUUUCAUCACCACCAACGGUGGGGUUGAUUGUUGCUGUGUUCCUUGACAACACAUUGAAAGUGGAGAAGUGAAAGAAGAAUAGAGAGAUGCUUUUUUGGUUGAAGUUCAGAACAUUUAGAGGUGAUAACAGAAAUGAGGAAUUCUACACUUUGCCAUGCAAUCUCAACAGGUUUUUUCCUCCCACCUAGCAACCACCCCUAUCACUAAGCAACCUAGUCUUGUGAAGCUCCAAUUGAAAGCUCUCAUCGUAGUUGAGAAUGACCAGCUUUUUUGAGGAUUUCUCUACGACCUUUGCAUCUUUUGUAAUUUUGCCACACCAUCAUUGAAUGGCCUCAAGCAUUGUAAAGCAUUUGACCUAGGCUUUGUAGGAUCUGAUAUAAUAAGAAAAAAGUUUUGGUCUUU